RNAcentral lists this ribosomal RNA (253 nucleotides) under uncultured bacterium. RNAcentral's name for it is "partial 16S ribosomal RNA". It matches the Rfam family "Bacterial small subunit ribosomal RNA", at positions 524 to 776 of the family's 1533-position model. The record is from RNAcentral.
UACGUAGGGUGCGAGCGUUAAUCGGAAUUACUGGGCGUAAAGCGUGCGCAGGCGGUCUGUUAAGACCGAUGUGAAAUCCCCGGGCUUAACCUGGGAACUGCAGUCGAGACUGUCUAGCUAGAGUAUGGGAGAGGGAAGUGGAAUUUCAGGUGUAGCGGUGAAAUGCGUAGAUAUCUGGAGGAACACCGGUGGCGAAGGCGGCAUCCUGGACCGGUAUUGACGCUGAGGCGCGAAAGCCAGGGGAGCAAACGGG